This 1357-nucleotide ribosomal RNA is filed under the name uncultured bacterium. RNAcentral describes it as "bacterial SSU rRNA". It matches the Rfam family "Bacterial small subunit ribosomal RNA", at positions 28 to 1381 of the family's 1533-position model. The record is from RNAcentral.
AUUGAACGCUGGCGGUAGGCUUAACACAUGCAAGUCGUGCGAGAAAGUAUCUUCGGAUAUGAGUAGAGCGGCGGACGGGUGAGUAACGCGUAGGAAUCUACCUAGUAGAAGGGGAUAGCCCGGGGAAACCCGGAUUAAUACCGUAUACCUCCUUCGGGAGAAAGAAGGCCUCUCCUUGAAGCUUUCGCUAUUAGAUGAGCCUGCGUAAGAUUAGCUUGUUGGUGAGGUAAAGGCUCACCAAGGCGACGAUCUUUAGCUGGUCUGAGAGGACGAUCAGCCACAUUGGGACUGAGACACGGCCCAGACUCCUACGGGAGGCAGCAGUGGGGAAUAUUGGACAAUGGGCGCAAGCCUGAUCCAGCCAUACCGCGUGUGUGAAGAAGGCCUUCGGGUUGUAAAGCACUUUAAGCAGGGAGAAAAAGUUAUAAGUUAAUACCUUAUAACCCUGAUGUUACCUGCAGAAUAAGCACCGGCUAAUUCCGUGCCAGCAGCCGCGGUAAUACGGAAGGUGCAAGCGUUAAUCGGAAUUACUGGGCGUAAAGCGCGCGUAGGUGGUUUGUUAAGUUGGAUGUGAAAGCCCUGGGCUCAACCUAGGAACUGCAUCCAAAACUAACUCACUAGAGUACGAUAGAGGGAGGUAGAAUUCAUAGUGUAGCGGUGGAAUGCGUAGAUAUUAUGAAGAAUACCAGUGGCGAAGGCGGCCUCCUGGAUCUGUACUGACACUGAGGUGCGAAAGCGUGGGUAGCGAACAGGAUUAGAUACCCUGGUAGUCCACGCCGUAAACGAUGACAACUAGCUGUUGGGAGACUAUGUCUUUCAGUGGCACAGCUAACGCUUUAAGUUGUCCGCCUGGGGAGUACGGCCGCAAGGCUAAAACUCAAAUGAAUUGACGGGGACCCGCACAAGCGGUGGAGCAUGUGGUUUAAUUCGAUGCAACGCGAAAAACCUUACCUACUCUUGACAUACUUGGAGGCUCUUGUAAUGAGAGUGUGCCUUUUGGAACCAAGAUACAGGUGCUGCAUGGCUGUCGUCAGCUCGUGUCGUGAGAUGUUCCGUUAAGUCGGAUAACGAGCGCAACCCUUACCCUUAUUUGCCAGCGAUUCGGUCGGGAACUAUAAGGGGACUGCCGGUGAUAAACCGGAGGAAGGUGAGGACGACGUCAAGUCAUCAUGGCCCUUACGAGUAGGGCUACACACGUGCUACAAUGGGAGAUACAGACGGACGCUAAGCCGCGAGGUGGUGCUAAUCCUAAAAAGUCUUUCGUAGUCCGGAUUGGAGUCUGCAACUCGACUCCAUGAAGUCGGAAUCGCUAGUAAUCGCGGAUCAGCAUGCCGCGGUGAAAUACGUUCUCGGGUCU